This 270-nucleotide ribosomal RNA is filed under the name uncultured archaeon. RNAcentral's name for it is "partial 16S ribosomal RNA". It matches the Rfam family "Archaeal small subunit ribosomal RNA", at positions 477 to 747 of the family's 1478-position model. The record is from RNAcentral.
CUGCAGCCCGAGUGGUGAUCGAUUUUAUUGAGCCUAAAGCGUCCGUAGCCGGUUUAGUAAAUCUUCGGGUAAAUCGAGCAGCUUAACUGUUCGAAUUCCGGAGAGACUGCUAGACUUGGGACCGGGAGAGGUCAGAGGUACUCCUGGGGUAGAGGUGAAAUUCUGUAAUCCUGGGGGGACCACCAGUGGCGAAGGCGUCUAGCUAGAACGGGUCUGACGGUGAGGAACGAAGCCCUGGGGCGCAAACCGGAUUAGAUACCCGCGUAGUCC